CAAUAGCGUAUAUUAAAGUUGUUGCAGUUAAAAAGCUCGUAGUUGGACCUUGGACCUGGACAGGCGGUCCGCCUCACGGCGUGUACUGCCUUGCUGGGUCUUUCCUCUUGGUGAUCUGUUGUUUCGGCAGCAGGGAACCAGGACUUUUACUUUGAAAAAAUUAGAGUGUUCAAAGCAGGCUCGACGCCGGAAUAUAUUAGCAUGGAAUAAUAAAAUAGGACGUGCGGUUCUAUUUUGUUGGUUUUUGGAAUCGCCGUAAUGAUUAAUAGGGACAGUCGGGGGCAUUAGUACUCACAUGCUAGAGGUGAAAUUCUUGGAUUUUGUGAAGACUAACUUCUGCGAAAGCAUUUGCCAAGGAUGUUUUCAUUAA
Molecule: ribosomal RNA, 370 nt
Filed under: uncultured eukaryote
Lineage: Eukaryota
Description: partial 18S ribosomal RNA
Rfam family: Eukaryotic small subunit ribosomal RNA
Source: RNAcentral